Molecule: unclassified non-coding RNA, 324 nt
Filed under: Hevea brasiliensis (rubber tree)
Lineage: Eukaryota; Viridiplantae; Streptophyta; Magnoliopsida; Malpighiales; Euphorbiaceae
Source: RNAcentral
GCAUGGACUUCUCGGCGAAAUUUCGAGGUUGUUUCUGGGUACCGGGAGAUUCUAGAGACCGUACUAUUGGAGGAUCCUAGGGUUUGGUUAGGAGUUUGAUACAUGGACGACAAUCGGGGCUUUUUUGAAAUAAUCAGGAGAAUUUGAAUAUGGGUCUCGCUUGCUGAUGCUGGUUAAGGCACCCAUUGUUCAAAUCUAAAGCUUAACAAGCUUAAAAAUUUAAAACCCAUCUAAAGGAAAGCAUUUUUAGUCUGAAAAUAUAACUAAUUUUGUUAAUAAGGGAGCUUUCUAGACAGAGAUAAAAUCCUAGACAAACAAUUUGGC